This 329-nucleotide ribosomal RNA is filed under the name uncultured eukaryote. RNAcentral describes it as "partial 18S ribosomal RNA". It matches the Rfam family "Eukaryotic small subunit ribosomal RNA", at positions 1470 to 1796 of the family's 1831-position model. The record is from RNAcentral.
CCCUUAGAUGUUCUGGGCCGCACGCGCGCUACACUGAUGCGUUCAACGAGUAUACAACCUUGAUCGAUAGGUCUGGGUAAUCUUGUGAAUGCGCAUCGUGCUAGGGAUAGAUUGUUGCAAUUUUCAAUCUUGAACGAGGAAUUCCUAGUAAACGCAAGUCAUCAGCUUGCAUUGAUUACGUCCCUGCCCUUUGUACACACCGCCCGUCGCUACUACCGAUUGAAUGAUUUAGUGAGUACCAGGGACCGAGCGCUUUGGUUGGGUUUCCUUCCCUAGCGCUUGGGAACUGUCGCAAACUUGACCAUUUAGAGGAAGUAAAAGUCGUAACA